GUGCAGUUACUGCCAUCACGGCGGCCGCGGUGGCGUCCUGGAGCCCUUCUCAGGUGAGCUGGAGCUGCCCGGCUCGGCAGCGGGAAGUGCUGAAGCUGCUGAAAGAUGGCAGAAGAAGUGGUGGUAGUAGCCAAAUUUGAUUAUGUAGCCCAACAAGAACAAGAGUUGGACAUCAAGAAGAAUGAGAGAUUAUGGCUUCUGGAUGAUUCUAAGUCCUGGUGGCGAGUUCGAAAUUCCAUGAAUAAAACAGGUUUUGUGCCUUCUAACUAUGUGGAAAGGAAAAACAGUGCUCGGAAAGCGUCUAUUGUAAAAAACCUAAAGGAUACCUUAGGUAAGAUUUUUUUUAUUAAAAGAAAAUCAACUUUGUUUUAAAUGAAACCUGCAACUUAGUUCUUUGUACAUAAUUCUGGCAGCAGUGUGCAUAAUUGACUUGAAAAGGCAAGGGCUAGGUAAGUUUGACUCAUAGCAGGUGGUCAACCCAGAAGACCAAUGAAGGUCAUAAGCGUUAACAUGCAGUUUCUGUAAAUCUAGGCCCACGCUCCAAGUCAAGGCAGAGUGGUGCCAAUGAGUAGAACU
RNAcentral lists this small RNA (576 nucleotides) under Pongo abelii (Sumatran orangutan). Its description in RNAcentral is "retained intron". The record is from RNAcentral. Lineage: Eukaryota; Metazoa; Chordata; Mammalia; Primates; Hominidae.